CAGCAGCAGCCGCGGUAAUACGUAGGGUGCAAGCGUUAAUCGGAAUUACUGGGCGUAAAGCGUGCGCAGGCGGUUAUAUAAGACAGAUGUGAAAUCCCCGGGCUCAACCUGGGAACUGCAUUUGUGACUGUAUAGCUAGAGUACGGCAGAGGGGGAUGGAAUUCCGCGUGUAGCAGUGAAAUGCGUAGAUAUGCGGAGGAACACCGAUGGCGAAGGCAAUCCCCUGGGCCUGUACUGACGCUCAUGCACGAAAGCGUGGGGAGCAAACAGGAUUAGAUACCCCGGUAGUCCCUGUCUCUUAUAC
RNAcentral lists this ribosomal RNA (304 nucleotides) under uncultured bacterium. RNAcentral's name for it is "partial 16S ribosomal RNA". It matches the Rfam family "Bacterial small subunit ribosomal RNA", at positions 506 to 807 of the family's 1533-position model. The record is from RNAcentral.